RNAcentral lists this ribosomal RNA (482 nucleotides) under uncultured bacterium. RNAcentral describes it as "partial 16S ribosomal RNA". It matches the Rfam family "Bacterial small subunit ribosomal RNA", at positions 30 to 507 of the family's 1533-position model. The record is from RNAcentral.
AUUGAACGCUGGCGGCAUGCCUUACACAUGCAAGUCGAACGGUAACAGGUCUUCGGAUGCUGACGAGUGGCGAACGGGUGAGUAAUACAUCGGAACGUGCCCGAUCGUGGGGGAUAACGAGGCGAAAGCUUUGCUAAUACCGCAUACGAUCUACGGAUGAAAGCGGGGGAUCUUCGGACCUCGCGCGGACGGAGCGGCCGAUGGCAGAUUAGUUAGUUGGUGGGAUAAAAGCUUACCAAGCCGACGAUCUGUAGCUGGUCUGAGAGGAUGAUCAGCCACACUGGGACUGAGACACGGCCCAGACUCCUACGGGAGGCAGCAGUGGGGAAUUUUGGACAAUGGGCGAAAGCCUGAUCCAGCCAUGCCGCGUGCAGGAUGAAGGCCUUCGGGUUGUAAACUGCUUUUGUACGGAACGAAAAGCCUCUUUCUAAUAAAGAGGGGUCAUGACGGUACCGUAAGAAUAAGCACCGGCUAACUACGUG